This 326-nucleotide ribosomal RNA is filed under the name uncultured eukaryote. Its description in RNAcentral is "partial 18S ribosomal RNA". It matches the Rfam family "Eukaryotic small subunit ribosomal RNA", at positions 1470 to 1796 of the family's 1831-position model. The record is from RNAcentral.
CCCUUAGAUGUUCUGGGCCGCACGCGCGCUACACUGAAGGGAUCAGCGUGUUUUCCCUUCCCGAGAGGGACGGGUAACCCGCUGAACCCCCUUCGUGGUAGGGAUCGGAGCUUGCAAUUGUUCUCCGUGAACCAGGAAUUCCCAGUAAGCGCAAGUCAUAAGCUUGCGUUGAUUACGUCCCUGCCCUUUAUACACACCGCCCGUCGCUACUACCGAUUGAACGUUUUAGUGAGGUAUUUGGACUGGGCCUUGGGAGGUUUCGGCCUCCCUUGUUGCUCGGAAAGACUCCCAAACUUGAGCGUUUAGAGGAAGUAAAAGUCGUAACA